Molecule: unclassified non-coding RNA, 429 nt
Filed under: soil metagenome
Description: partial contains 5.8S ribosomal RNA, internal transcribed spacer 2, and large subunit ribosomal RNA
Rfam family: 5.8S ribosomal RNA (bases 1-120)
Source: RNAcentral
GAUGAAGAACGUAGCGAAAUGCGAUACGUAAUGUGAAUUGCAGAAUUCAGUGAAUCAUCGAAUCUUUGAACGCAUAUUGCGCUCUUUGGUAUUCCGAAGAGCAUGCUUGUUUGAGUAUCAGUAAACACCUCAAAGUCUUUUUUUCUUGAAGAAAAAGACCUUGGACUUGAGCAAUCCCAACUCUUCUUUCAGAAGAGGCGGGUUGCUUGAAAUGCAGGUGCAGCUGGACAUUCUCCUGAGCUAAAAGCAUAUUCAUUUAGUCCCGUCAAACGGAUUAUUACUUUUGCUGCAGCUAACAUAAAGGGAGUUUGCCCAUUUUGGCUGACUGAUGCAGGAAUUUCACAAGAGUCUUCAAAACGCUCUUGUUAAACUCGAUCUCAAAUCAAGUAAGACUACCCGCUGAACUUAAGCAUAUCAAUAAGCGGAGGA